CGUCUGCCUGGGCGUCACACAUCUUGUUGCCCCUGCUAUCUAUCCCUUGAGGGAUAUUUGAGAGAGGGGCGGAGAUUGGUCUCCCAUGCCAAUGGCAUGGUUGGCCUAAAUAGGAGUCCUGUCAAGAUGGAUACAUGACUAGUGGUGGUUUGAUAAGACAGUUGU
RNAcentral lists this ribosomal RNA (165 nucleotides) under Marshallia graminifolia. RNAcentral describes it as "5.8S ribosomal RNA". The record is from RNAcentral. Lineage: Eukaryota; Viridiplantae; Streptophyta; Magnoliopsida; Asterales; Asteraceae.